RNAcentral lists this ribosomal RNA (549 nucleotides) under Triticum aestivum (bread wheat). Its description in RNAcentral is "partial small subunit ribosomal RNA". Lineage: Eukaryota; Viridiplantae; Streptophyta; Magnoliopsida; Poales; Poaceae. The record is from RNAcentral.
CUGAAGUUCACAUAUGUGUUGGCUGGCUGGGAGGGGUCAACGCAUGAUGCUAACAUUCUCACUGACAGCAUGAGUCGACCUGAUGGGAUCAACAUCCCCGACGGCAAGUUCUACCUUGGAGAUGCUGGCUAUGCAUGUCGCCCGGGUAUUCUUUCACCCUUCAGGAAAACAAGGUACCAUCUCAACGCGUUCUCUGGUAGGAACUAUCCUAGGACUGCACAGGAGCUGUUUAAUCUCAGACACUCCAGCCUUAGGGUAACUGUUGAGAGGGCAUUUGGAGCUCUGAAGAAUAGGUUUAAGAUCCUGGAUCAGAAGCCAUUCCACCCAUACUCCACUCAGGUUAAACUAGUUCUUGCUUGUUGCAUUAUGCAUAACUGGAUCCUCCAGUGGGGCUUUGAUGAACACGUGCCCGAGGAGGAAGAUGUCGAGCCUGACGAUGUUGUUAGCUCCGGCCAUGGUGUGGAGGCAUUUGACAAUGACGCUUGGAAGAAUAAAAGGUUGGAGUGGGCAGAGGCGAUGUGGCUUAACAGAGGUCAGUGCAGGAUUUGA